AUUGAACGCUGGCGGCAGGCUUAACACAUGCAAGUCGAGCGAGCGGCGGACGGGUGAGUAAUGUCUGGGAAACUGCCUGCUGGAGGGGGAUAACUACUGGAAACGGUAGCUAAUACCGCAUACCAUCAUAUGUGCCCAGAUGGGCUUAGCUAGUCGGUGGGGUAAUGGCUCACCUGGGCGACGACCCCUAGCGGGUCUGAGAGGAUGACCAGCCAGCCUGAGAUUGAGCCACGGUCCAGACUCCUACGGGAGUAAGCAGUGGGGAAUAUUGCACAAUGGGCGGAAGCCUAAUGAAGCCAUGCCGCGUGUUUGAAGAAGGCCUUCAGGUUGAAAAGCACUUGCAGCGAGGAGGCGUUACGCGCAGAAGAAGAACCCGCUAACUCCGUGCAAGCAGCCGCGGUAAUAC
RNAcentral lists this ribosomal RNA (406 nucleotides) under uncultured bacterium. Its description in RNAcentral is "partial 16S ribosomal RNA". It matches the Rfam family "Bacterial small subunit ribosomal RNA", at positions 30 to 526 of the family's 1533-position model. The record is from RNAcentral.